UCUGGUCCCUGUUCUCGGGAGACCGCGUUUUAGGUUUCUCCGGGAGCUCUCGCCGCGUUUCCGCCGGCGCUGGCGGAGCGGCCAGCCGCCGGCGGCACCUGCCGAGGCCGGGUUGUGUGACUCGCGGCGGCGGCCGGAUGAGGGCUGCGGGGACUACAAGUCCCAAAAUGCAGCGCUCCACUGAGCCGCCUCUUGCAGGUGGCGCGGUGCAUGCUGGGGUCGGCGGGCUCAGUAGCUCAUAGAGACGCUGCGUGACUGGGCGCGGCGAGGCUGAUCCGCGUGAAAUGUGGCUUGGGCGGUGGGUCCCGGCCUCUGUCCCGUACCUUGCGGAGCGGGUGUAGGGUGCUGCAUUCGUGGCGGCGCCGCGUUUGGGCCGCGCCAAGAAAUAGCGCAGUGUCACGUGCUGUGCCGCGCCGCAAAGGGAGCGCGAAAGAAACUUGUCCUGGACAACAGUCUGCUCCUGUGCAGCACCGGGUACUUCGUCCCUCUUCUUCCUGUUCGGGGCCUGAGCUGUUCUCCGCGAAAUCCAGCGGAACUAUGGAGAUAAACUUCAUGGUGAUAUCCUGGAAGUUGUGCAGAAUAAUUGAGCCCUUCAUGAAAACAUCAACAGUUCUAGAAGACUAUAUGAUAUACAGUUGUGGAUGUUCCUGAAUAUUUAAGACAGAAUGUGACUUAUUAGCAAGUAUCCAGUGGAUAAUGAAUUAAUGAAUGAAUAACUGACCGCAGUUGGGAUAUAAAACUACUUGCGACUCUAGUACUACUAAAACAGAGAUCUCCGAAGGCUGACUCAAUAUUAAAGUGAAAUGGUGGAAACUGUAGGAGCAGAUGCAUUUAGUUAUUCAGUGAUGAGGUGGAAUUUUUGUAUCACUGGAAGAAGUCUGACACCUGAAGAUACCAAGAUUUUAACAACAAAAAAUGUUACCAGGUUUAUGCUUCUGAAAUAGUUUGUGGGAUAGUUUGGUAGUUAAUAAUAUUUCUGAAACUUCACAUGGCACAGAACCAGUUGGUCUCUACUUCUCUUAAAACAGUGAGCAAUCAUGUUUUGUGGAAAUCUAAAGAUCUUUCCAAAAUUUUAGACCCAGCUCCCUCUAGUGAAACCAAAGCUCUUAUAAUAGGGAAACUGCAUGUGGGAUCAAAGAAGAGAAAAUUCAGUUUUGCUAGAAUCAGUCAGAUUUAACAUCUUCUGUUUUCUGACAUGACUUAUCAGGAGAUUAUGGUGGCUGAAGGGAAAUAGAGCAUACUUUAAAAGUGUAGCAUAAAAUCUAUUUUUUCCCACUGUUUAUCAGGAGAGGCUCCCCUACUCAGUAAAGAAAAUAUUAAGGGCAACAAACAAUAAGCUUGGGGGAUGUGGGUUGGAGAAAAACUCCCAGUGGCUAGUCAGUUUCCUCUGAAGGAGAUAAAAGCACAACAAAGAAAUAAAGCACACUUUGAUAUUACUGGGGAAAUGUGUAUGCCCUGAACAGUAAUAAAAUGGGCAAGGGAAAACCCAGGCACCCUGUGUAGAAAGAUGGCGAGAGUACCAAUUAAUGCAGAAAAUCAUAGUAAUGAGGCUUGCCCCUUUUGAGUGCCAUUUCAUUCAGGAAGUGAAAGAGGAAUGUCAGGUUGUGGUAUUAAUCAAUGAAGGCAUUGAGGAAGCAAAAAAUAUCAGACAUUUGUAAGAAAGCAAAAUUCACCAGUCAUCGUAGGAGUUGUGGUCACAAGAGAAAACUAGACUUAAACCACAGCCUGGGUUCUGUUUAUGCUGAUGGGGAAAGAAGUUGGUUUUUAUGCACCGCUGCCCAACCGCAUGAUAAGACCAAUGCAUUGGUGUGGAACUUUUUUUCUCUCUCUUGAGCAGAAAGCAUUGCUACCAUCUAUGUUUUGUGUGGAAGAGAGGCACACCUGGCAACUUCUGCUUUAAGAAACCUCUUGAAAAAUAACCAUGCCAUAAUGUGGGAGAAACAUAUCUGCUGCAUUCAGCAACUAAGCCUUAAUGCAGUAGGGAAAGAGAUGGAGGAGAUCCACAAAUACUCCAGUCAGUGGCAUAACAUCCAGUAUGCCUUUUAGUGUUAGGAAGGGAAGCACAAUGAAAAAAGAUACAUAGGCAAACUACCCAGCGACUGACACAACCUACACUUAAAGACACAUCAAACUAUAAGGAAAAACCAUCCUACAAUCCCCAUGCUUAAUACAAAACUGGCAAUAAUGCUAGUAGUGGAUCUGCAGCCCUUUUCAUUUGGCAAGGUAGAGGGCUUUCAGGCAUUAAUGGAAUACACCAUUCCCAAGUUGCAAAUACCUAGCAAAACCUACUUUUUUGGCUAAGGCAAUACCAUAGUUGUACGAAACUCAUAUUGCAGUGUCCAAGGCAUUGAGGAUGUCAGUGGUCAGAUGGAUCUUCCUCACCUUUGAAAUGUGGACUAGUGGUCAGACCAUGGACUGUGUAUCAGCUCAUUGGGUAGCUCUUCCUCGUCAGUUACCUAUGGUAGCAGGUAGCCAGACACUUUGCUACAGACUACAGCCCAACAUGCAACACUGAAGUUUUGAAAAACCCUACACUCCAUUGUGUAUUGGAGAAAUUGCAGAAUGGCUUUCCCCUUGCUUGCUUUUAGCAGGAUUUAUUACCACAUUAGUCCCAUUAUCAGAUGUAUGUGCAAUUAAGGAAGGGGGAUACUUCCAUGUGCCAUGCUUUGCACACAUUCUUGAUGCAGUAAUUCAUUCUUUUCUGAACAAAGAUGAGAAUGUGAAGUGCUGGCCAUUGCAUGUCAAGUCUGCAGUUACUUCAGCUAUUCCUUUACAGAUGCUUACACUUUACAAGAACUGCAAAGGCAAAAUAGCCUUCCAUUGCACCAACUCAAACACUAUGGGCCAGACAAAUGGGAUUCACCUCUCUGUGCUUGAGCAAUUACUGGGGCAAUAAAAAACUAUUAGUGUAGUUUUAAGAAAAACCUAUGUAGUAUGUGGAGACCUUUUGAUGAAGCAUUCAAAGGGUGAGCUAAAACGAUGCUAGUUUUAGCCAAGUCAUUCUGCUCAUGUGCCUCCUAGAGGCGGGGGAAAAUGUACCGCAUGUGCCUCCUAGACGGGGGGAAAAAUAUGCUGCCUGCAAGAACAGUUUAGAAAAGUGGAUGAUAUUGCAGCAGUCUAUUUGGUAAAUAGUAUAUUAGCCAUUCUGAAAGAAGACUUAUAUAAUUUAUAUUAGGGGGUCUGAGGAGUACAUUUUUGCUACCUUUUUUUUUAGAUCCCUGAUUUAAAGAUGCAUUAUCUUUCUGCCAUGGGGUGAGUCUAAUAUAGAAUACCACCAAACUGUUCUCAGAUACGGUUGCUAAAUGUAUUUCUACUAGAAUGGUAAGAAAAUAAGCUCUUCUAGCAUCAGGGAUCAAAUAGAAGAAAGUUGGAGCAAAAUUAAAAGAUUUCAACCUUCAAAAGGUGAGAUCUUUUUGGGAACCCCCAGUACCUCACAUGCAUCAUAUUCCAAAAUGUCACUCUGGGAUUUGCUCCUUGAUCUAGGUUUAAUGAAAGUAGCAGAAAAUGGUAUCAUGCCAGAAGAUCCUGCUAUCUCCAGUUGAUUUGUAAAUGAAGCAUUAAAACAUUACAUGCAUCAUGCAAAACUUUGUUGACAUCCUGUACCAAUUGUCAUUGGAUUUGAAUGUUGUCUGUUGCAAGCCAGUAAAUGAGAAGUUAAAGCUACAUUACUCAGUUUUAUUGUACUUUGGCCUUUGAUACAUCUGAGAAUAAACCAUGUGCCUUUUCUCAGGUAGUAUUUUUUUUUUUUACCUUUCAUCUAAAUUGCAUCAUGGAGUGGAGGGAGAAAAGUUUUGCACUCUUCCUUCCCUCCCCCAUGGGAGGGGGAAAAAAAUUUGGAAUGGUGCUGCAUAAAUUCCUUGGUACCUCUUAGGUUGCUCACCUUUCUAGGAUGAGGCAGGAGCCUGCACCCCCUUCCUGAAGGGGCUUUCUACUCUUGUCUAUAAGUAGGCUAGGAAGGAUUUGACUGUAUGGUAAAUGUUGGCAAACAUUGAUUUCACUGUACACUAUUUUUACACAUAAUAAAAAUUCACAGCUAA
Chrysemys picta bellii (western painted turtle) is the source of this 4037-nucleotide long non-coding RNA. RefSeq lists it as uncharacterized. NCBI's taxonomy places the organism in Eukaryota, Metazoa, Chordata, Testudines, Emydidae. The record is from RefSeq and is a predicted model, not a curated record.